CGGGCAGUAGCUCAUUGGUCGAGCUUCCGCUUCAUAUGCGGGAAGACCUGGGUUCGAUUUCCGGCUGCUUAU
Transfer RNA from Toxocara canis (dog roundworm), 72 nucleotides. It matches the Rfam family "tRNA". Rfam says of the family: Transfer RNA (tRNA) molecules are approximately 80 nucleotides in length. Their secondary structure includes four short double-helical elements and three loops (D, anti-codon, and T loops). Further hydrogen bonds mediate the characteristic L-shaped molecular structure. tRNAs have two regions of fundamental functional importance: the anti-codon, which is responsible for specific mRNA codon recognition, and the 3' end, to which the tRNAs corresponding amino acid is attached (by aminoacyl-tRNA synthetases). tRNAs cope with the degeneracy of the genetic code in two manners: having more than one tRNA (with a specific anti-codon) for a particular amino acid; and 'wobble' base-pairing, i.e. permitting non-standard base-pairing at the 3rd anti-codon position. NCBI's taxonomy places the organism in Eukaryota, Metazoa, Nematoda, Chromadorea, Rhabditida, Toxocaridae. The record is from Rfam.